Molecule: ribosomal RNA, 437 nt
Filed under: Pardosa mirzakhaniae
Lineage: Eukaryota; Metazoa; Arthropoda; Arachnida; Araneae; Lycosidae
Description: partial small subunit ribosomal RNA
Source: RNAcentral
UUUUAUUAGAAUUAAUUAAUAAUAAAUCCUGCUCAAUGAAAAUUAAAUAGCCGCUUUUGUGCUAAGGUAGCAUAAUAAUUUGUCUUUUAAUUAAAGACUAGAACAAAAGGUUUAACAUCUCAAUUAAUAUUUUAUAAAAAACUUUUUAAAUUAUUUUAAUUGUAAAAAAACAAUUUUUAAAAAGAAAGACGAUAAGACCCUAUCGAACUUUACUUUAGUUUAACUGGGGAAGUUAAUUAAUUAUCAUUUUAAUAUAAAAAAAUAUACAAUUUGACCUAAUACUAUUAACAAUAUAAUUAAGUUACCGUAGGGAUAACAGCGUAAUAAAAUUUCUAAGAUCUUAUUUAAAAUAAAGAUUGCGACCUCGAUGUUGAUUUAAUAACCUAAUUAACGCAAUAGUUAAUUAAGGAAGUCUGUUCGACUUUUAAAAAAUUACA